This 440-nucleotide ribosomal RNA is filed under the name uncultured bacterium. Its description in RNAcentral is "partial 16S ribosomal RNA". It matches the Rfam family "Bacterial small subunit ribosomal RNA", at positions 338 to 795 of the family's 1533-position model. The record is from RNAcentral.
CCUACGGUAGGCAGCAGUGGGGAAUAUUGCACACUGGGGGAAACCCUGAUGCAGCAACGCCGCGUGAGUGAAGAAGUAUUUCGGUAUGUAAAGCUCUAUCAGCAGGGAAGAAAAUGACGGUACCUGAGUAAGAAUCCCCGGCUAACUCCGUGCCAGCAGCCGCGGUAAUACGUAUGGUGCAAGCGUUAUCCGGAUUUACUGGGUGUAAAGGGAGCGUAGACGGCGAUACAAGUCUGAAGUGAAAGCACGGGGCUCAAACCCGGGACUGCUUUGGAAACUGUGUUGCUUGAGUGCUGGAGAGGGAAGCGGAAUUCCUAGUGUAGCGGUGAAAUGCGUAGAUAUUAGGAAGAACACCAGUGGCGAAGGCGGCUUGCUGGACAGUAACUGACGUUGAGGCUCGAAAGCGUGGGGAGCAAACAGGAUUAGAUACCCCUGUAGUC